ACAGUAUACACUCGAAUUUGGAUUAAAACAGCGUUUUUAUAAAGUAUGCAACAACCGAUGGAGGAAUGAAACACAUGAUUAGGAACACACGGGGGGCUACUGUAAGGUAAUGAUGUCAGUUUUAUAUCUGUUU
This is a long non-coding RNA of Bufo bufo (common toad), 133 nucleotides long. RefSeq lists it as uncharacterized. The record is from RefSeq and is a predicted model, not a curated record. Lineage: Eukaryota; Metazoa; Chordata; Amphibia; Anura; Bufonidae. The transcript has 3 exons.